AGUGCAAUGGGAUGGGAAUCGAACCCACGACCUUCCGCUUACCGGGCAGAUGCCAAGACCACUAGGCUAACCUGGAC
This 77-nucleotide transfer RNA is filed under the name Cordylochernes scorpioides. RNAcentral describes it as "tRNA-Thr". Lineage: Eukaryota; Metazoa; Arthropoda; Arachnida; Pseudoscorpiones; Chernetidae. The record is from RNAcentral.